Molecule: ribosomal RNA, 271 nt
Filed under: uncultured prokaryote
Description: partial 16S ribosomal RNA
Rfam family: Bacterial small subunit ribosomal RNA
Source: RNAcentral
UACGGAGGAUCCGAGCGUUAUCCGGAAUUAUUGGGUUUAAAGGGUGCGUAGGCGGCCAUUUAAGUCAGCGGUGAAAUUUUGCAGCUAAACUGUAAAAGUGCCUUCGAAACUGGUUUCCUUGAGUGUAGAUGAAGUAGGCGGAAUUUGUGGUGUAGCGGUGAAAUGCAUAGAUAUCACGAGGAACUCCGAUUGCGCAGGCAGCUUACUAAACUACUACUGACGCUCAGGCACGAAGGCGUGGGGAUCAAACAGGAUUAGAUACCCCUGUAGU